This 245-nucleotide ribosomal RNA is filed under the name uncultured bacterium. Its description in RNAcentral is "partial 16S ribosomal RNA". It matches the Rfam family "Bacterial small subunit ribosomal RNA", at positions 88 to 334 of the family's 1533-position model. The record is from RNAcentral.
AUGGCGACCGGCGCACGGGUGAGUAGCACGUAUCCAACCUGCCGAUAACUCGGGGAUAGCCUUUCGAAAGAAAGAUUAAUACCCGAUGGUAUAAUCAGACCGCAUGGUUUGAUUAUUAAAGAAUUUCGGUUAUCGAUGGGGAUGCGUUCCAUUAGGCAGUUGGUGAGGUAACGGCUCACCAAACCUUCGAUGGAUAGGGGUUCUGAGAGGAAGGUCCCCCACAUUGGAACUGAGACACGGUCCAA